GACUUCGGGAUAACCUCGGGAAAUCGUGGCUAAUACCGGAUAUGACGCCCUGCCGCAUGGUGGGGUGUGGAAAGACUGUGUCGGUUGGGGAUGGGCUCGCGGCCUAUCAGCUUGUUGGUGGGGUGAUGGCCUACCAAGGCGACGACGGGUAGCCGGCCUGAGAGGGUGACCGGCCACACUGGGACUGAGACACGGCCCAGACUCCUACGGGAGGCAGCAGUGGGGAAUAUUGCACAAUGGGCGCAAGCCUGAUGCAGCGACGCCGCGUGAGGGAUGACGGCCUUCGGGUUGUAAACCUCUUUCAGCAGGGGAGAAGGCCUUCGGGUUGACGGUACCUGCAGAAGAAGCGCCGGCUAACUACGUGCCAGCAGCCGCGGUAAUACGUAGGGCGCAAGCGUUGUCCGGAAUUAUUGGGCGUAAAGAGCUCGUAGGCGGUUUGUCGCGUCUGCUGUGAAAACGCGAGGCUCAACCUCGCGCCUGCAGUGGGUACGGGCAGACUAGAGUGCGGUAGGGGAGACUGGAAUUCCUGGUGUAGCGGUGGAAUGCGCAGAUAUCAGGAGGAACACCGGUGGCGAAGGCGGGUCUCUGGGCCGUUACUGACGCUGAGGAGCGAAAGCAUGGGGAGCGAACAGGAUUAGAUACCCUGGUAGUCCAUGCCGUAAACGUUGGGCACUAGGUGUGGGACCCAUUCCACGGGUUCCGUGCCGCAGCUAACGCAUUAAGUGCCCCGCCUGGGGAGUACGGCCGCAAGGCUAAAACUCAAAGGAAUUGACGGGGGCCG
RNAcentral lists this ribosomal RNA (781 nucleotides) under Actinomycetes bacterium. RNAcentral describes it as "bacterial SSU rRNA". It matches the Rfam family "Bacterial small subunit ribosomal RNA", at positions 134 to 922 of the family's 1533-position model. The record is from RNAcentral. Lineage: Bacteria; Bacillati; Actinomycetota; Actinomycetes.